Molecule: ribosomal RNA, 472 nt
Filed under: uncultured bacterium
Lineage: Bacteria
Description: bacterial SSU rRNA
Rfam family: Bacterial small subunit ribosomal RNA
Source: RNAcentral
CAGGCCUAACACAUGCAAGUCGAACGGCAGCAUGGAAGAGCUUGCUCUUCUGAUGGCGAGUGGCGAACGGGUGAGUAAAGCAUCGGAACGUACCGUGUAAUGGGGGAUAACGUAGCGAAAGUUACGCUAAUACCGCAUACGACCUGAGGGUGAAAGCAGGGGAUCGCAAGACCUUGCGUUAUACGAGCGGCCGAUGUCAGAUUAGCUAGUUGGUGAGGUAAAGGCUCACCAAGGCGACGAUCUGUAGCGGGUCUGAGAGGAUGAUCCGCCACACUGGGACUGAGACACGGCCCAGACUCCUACGGGAGGCAGCAGUGGGGAAUUUUGGACAAUGGGGGAAACCCUGAUCCAGCCAUGCCGCGUGAGUGAAGAAGGCCUUCGGGUUGUAAAGCUCUUUCGGCCGGGAAGAAAUCGCACAGGCUAAUACUCUGUGUGGAAGACGGUACCGGCAUAAGAAGCACCGGCUACUCUG